Atta colombica is the source of this 865-nucleotide long non-coding RNA. RefSeq lists it as uncharacterized. Lineage: Eukaryota; Metazoa; Arthropoda; Insecta; Hymenoptera; Formicidae. The transcript has 4 exons. The record is from RefSeq and is a predicted model, not a curated record.
CAACAGAAAAAAACAUCUGCUAAAAAAAAAUAAGAACAAAGAGGAUAAACUGUGAGAUAUAUACAAUGAGAUAUUGAUAGAAGGUGUAUGAACCAAACCAAGUUUAUGGAAUCAAACAUCAAUACAAUCCCUAUUAAGGAAAGAGGUCUCUUAUUUGUGAAAGAAGCGAGAUUGGAAAUAUGUGUGCAAGACAUUUCAAUGAGCUUCUAUAAAAAAUUCCUUCAAAAUAUUUAUUCAUUAAUCUAUUAUAGAUAACUUUGAGAAAAUAUUAAAAAGCGCUGGAAAAACCUCUGUGAUUGCUACAUGAAAGCGAGAAAGAAAAUGACUGCAUACACACCAAGUGAUUCAGCAAUUUCAGAUAAAAAAAGAUGGUUUUCGUUUUUUUGAUCAAAUGCAAUUUUUAAAUGAUUCCAUAAUUUCAGGGGCUUCUAUAAGUAAUGUUUCGAAAGAACCUGAAUUGAUGAAUGAUAACCUAGACACCGAUCGCUUCACAAUGCAAGAAUCAAGAGAUGAUGAGAGCAGUUUUGUAGUUAGCCAAAAUGUUCGAACAAUACAAAUGAAUGUAUUUUUGGAAUAGGAAGAAGUAUUUCGUACAAAUAGUAUCUCUUUGCAUGAAAAACCAAUUCGGUGAAAUUUGUGCGUCACCAUCGACAAUGUAAUGAAUAACUAGAUGGAACAACAUCAUGUCGAUUUUGUUUGUCGUUACUUUAUUCUGAUAGAAAAUAAAAUUAAAUCGCAAUAUACAUGGUAGCAAUUUUGUUAUUGGAUGAAGAGGAUGAACAAGCCUUUGAACCAUGAGAAUUACACGAAGGCUGAUAUUCAUAAUCAGAUCUUAUAUUUAAGAUCGUCUUUAAAUACAGUCUUA